Molecule: ribosomal RNA, 614 nt
Filed under: uncultured bacterium
Lineage: Bacteria
Description: bacterial SSU rRNA
Rfam family: Bacterial small subunit ribosomal RNA
Source: RNAcentral
CCGCAUAUUCUUUAGACCGCAUGUUCUGAGAAGAAAGACGGCUUCGGCUGUCGCUCAUGGAUGAUCCGCGGCGUAUUAGUUAGUUGGUGGGGUAAAGGCCUACCAAGACAAUGAUACGUAGCCGACCUGAGAGGGUGAUCGGCCACACUGGGACUGAGACACGGCCCAGACUCCUACGGGAGGCAGCAGUAGGGAAUCUUCCACAAUGGGUGCAAACCUGAUGGAGCAAUGCCGCGUGAAUGAAGAAGGUCUUCGGAUCGUAAAGUUCUGUUAUUAGAGAAGAACAAAUCGAGGAGUAACUGUCUCGAUUUUGACGGUACCUAACCAGAAAGUCACGGCUAACUACGUGCCAGCAGCCGCGGUAAUACGUAGGUGACAAGCGUUGUCCGGAAUUAUUGGGCGUAAAGGGAGCGCAGGCGGUUGAAAUAGUCUGAUGUGAAAGCCCACGGCUUAACCGUGGAAUGUCAUUGGAAACUGUUCAACUUGAAUGCAGAAGAGGUAAGUGGAAUUCCAUGUGUAGCGGUGAAAUGCGUAGAUAUAUGGAGGAACACCAGUGGCGAAGGCGACUUACUGGUCUGUGAUUGACGCUGAGGCUCGAAAGCGUGGGUAGCAAA